UCUAAUGGCCAAACCGCCCUGAAUAAGCCGAAUCCUGUCUGAUUGGAAGCUAAACUCUGAAGCUAAGCAGGGUCGGGCCUGGUUAGUACUUGGGUGGGAGACCACCUAGGAAGACCAGGUGCUGUAGGGG
Molecule: ribosomal RNA, 130 nt
Organism: Pteropus vampyrus (large flying fox)
Lineage: Eukaryota; Metazoa; Chordata; Mammalia; Chiroptera; Pteropodidae
Source: Ensembl